CAGAAAGAAAAAAGGACCGAAACUUUCAUUUUAGCUCCCCAAGACACCUUCGGGACGCCACAAAAUGUCUCCUGGCGGCUGCAGAUAAUGAGGAUUCUAUGGCGGAUGGAGCCCAUUACUAUGGAUUUAAGGGUGCAGUUACAAUGAAGACGACGGGCGACCAUCGACUGUAAUCACGUUUGGUUUAUAGGAAAAGAUUAUUAACUUCACAGCCAGGGGAAAGUCUUAAUCCAUAAGGACUAAAACUCAACCAACCCACUGAAAGGACUGAGGACAUAUAAAGACUAAAUUCACCACAGAUUCGCCGGUCUGCUUCUGAAAUCCAUGGCGAGAGAUACCCUUUGUAUAUCUCCAAAAAAAAAACUAACAAUAUUCAAAAAGCGUGUACUAAUAUCAGCAGGGCAAAAUUCAAAACUUAAGACACUCUACAAUUUAAUUUUCCUUUAGAGCUAAAAGGUGAUGGACUUCAAUGGUCUAUAAAGCAUGGACUGUCAUCCGGUUAAAUCAUUCCUAGCUGACUGGCAGAAUCUGCGGCUUCUGAACCAGCUUCCAACCAAAUUAAAAUUAACUCGACAGUCAGCUGCAAUUUUCGGUGAGUGACUAGAUUAAGAUAUAUACCUAAUCAUAUUACACACCUUAGUACCCUCAGACUUCUACUCCUCGAGAUUUUAUCCUAGCUGAGCUUAGUUAACGUACCACUAGGUUUAAAUAUAUAUAGAAGAUAAUACUAUCAUAUAGUAAAUACAGAUUUUUAGUACCUUUUGUUACUUUAACAAAGCUUAUUAGAAUUAUGUUUGUUUUC
This is a long non-coding RNA of Lucilia cuprina (Australian sheep blowfly), 802 nucleotides long. RefSeq lists it as uncharacterized. NCBI's taxonomy places the organism in Eukaryota, Metazoa, Arthropoda, Insecta, Diptera, Calliphoridae. The record is from RefSeq and is a predicted model, not a curated record. The transcript is spliced from 7 exons.